AAGUGUGAGGCCACCUGGUUGUGAUGUCGGUCACCCCAUGGAGCCACAGGGUCUGCUCUGCUGAUCUGGUUGGCUGGAGAGGGUGUCCCCUUCUUGUUUCACUGCUCUCUGUAUGUUCCUUAGGAAACCACACACUUGGUCAAAGAGAAUAACCUUCCUUAAUAAACAAGGCCAAUCCUUGAUCAAAGAAAUAUGACAAGCUGGCCUCCCUGGCUAGAACCUCCAAGUAAGCUCUCGAGAGCAGAAGAUAUAACUAACUUUAGUACACAUUGUUAUCAAAGCAAAAUCUUAGAAAAUUAGUGGCUUU
RNAcentral lists this small nuclear RNA (307 nucleotides) under Ochotona princeps (American pika). RNAcentral's name for it is "7SK RNA (ENSOPRG00000023740.1)". It matches the Rfam family "7SK RNA". From Rfam's summary of the family: 7SK was discovered as an abundant small nuclear RNA in the mid-70s but a possible function has only recently been suggested. Two independent studies have found that 7SK RNA binds the CDK9/cyclin T complex (known as elongation factor P-TEFb). The record is from RNAcentral. Lineage: Eukaryota; Metazoa; Chordata; Mammalia; Lagomorpha; Ochotonidae.